This 387-nucleotide ribosomal RNA is filed under the name uncultured bacterium. RNAcentral describes it as "bacterial SSU rRNA". It matches the Rfam family "Bacterial small subunit ribosomal RNA", at positions 28 to 412 of the family's 1533-position model. The record is from RNAcentral.
GACGAACGCUGGCGGCGUGCCUAACACAUGCAAGUCAGGGAGAAUGGGGUAGCAAUAUCCCUAGUAAACCGGCGCAAGGGUGAGUAACACGUAAGCAAUCUGCCUUUUGGACGGGAAUAACUUCGAGAAAUCGAGGCUAAUACCCGAUAAUGCAGCGGCAUCGCAUGAUGACAGUUGUUAAAGGCCGUAAGGUGCCAAAAGAUGAGCUUGCGUCCCAUUAGCUUGNGGCGGGGUAAUGGCCCACCAAGGCGACGAUGGGUAGCUGGUCUGAGAGGACGAUCAGCCACACUGGAACUGAGACACGGUCCAGACUCCUACGGGAGCAGCAGUGAGGAAUAUUGCGCAAUGUCCGAAAGGGUGACGCAGCGACGCCGCGUGAAGGAUGAA